RNAcentral lists this ribosomal RNA (1134 nucleotides) under Selenomonas sp. oral taxon G55. Its description in RNAcentral is "bacterial SSU rRNA". It matches the Rfam family "Bacterial small subunit ribosomal RNA", at positions 28 to 1122 of the family's 1533-position model. The record is from RNAcentral. Lineage: Bacteria; Bacillati; Bacillota; Negativicutes; Selenomonadales; Selenomonadaceae.
GACGAACGCUGGCGGCGUGCUUCACACAUGCAAGUCGAACGGGAUGAUCUUAAAGCUUGCUUUUAGAGAAUCUAGUGGCAAACGGGUGAGUAACACGUAGACAACCUGCCGACAGGAUGGGGACAACAUUCCGAAAGGAAUGCUAAUACCGAAUGAAGCGGAGGAGAGGCAUCUCUCUUCCGUGAAAGAUGGCCUCUGAACAUGCUAUCACCUGUCGAUGGGUCUGCGUCUGAUUAGCUGGUUGGUGAGGUAACGGCUCACCAAGGCGACGAUCAGUAGCCGGUCUGAGAGGAUGAACGGCCACAUUGGGACUGAGACACGGCCCAGACUCCUACGGGAGGCAGCAGUGGGGAAUCUUCCGCAAUGGGCGCAAGCCUGACGGAGCAACGCCGCGUGAGUGAAGAAGGUCUUCGGAUCGUAAAGCUCUGUUGACGGGGACGAACGUGCGAGAGGUGAAUAAACUCUUGCAAUGACGGUACCUGUCGAGGAAGCCACGGCUAACUACGUGCCAGCAGCCGCGGUAAUACGUAGGUGGCGAGCGUUGUCCGGAAUCAUUGGGCGUAAAGGGAGCGCAGGCGGGCAUGUAAGUCUUUCUUAAAAGUGCGGGGCUCAACCCCGUGAUGGGAAAGAAACUAUAUGUCUUGAGUACAGGAGAGGAAAGCGGAAUUCCCAGUGUAGCGGUGAAAUGCGUAGAUAUUGGGAGGAACACCAGUGGCGAAGGCGGCUUUCUGGACUGCAACUGACGCUGAGGCUCGAAAGCCAGGGGAGCGAACGGGAUUAGAUACCCCGGUAGUCCUGGCCGUAAACGAUGGAUACUAGGUGUGGGAGGUAUCGACCCCUACCGUGCCGGAGUUAACGCAAUAAGUAUCCCGCCUGGGGAGUACGGUCGCAAGACUGAAACUCAAAGGAAUGACGGGGACCCGCACAAGCUGUGGAGUAUGUGGUGUGAUGGAAGCAACGCGAAGAACAUACCACGCUUGACAUUGACUGUAAGAGCUAGAGAUAGUUUUCCUCUCUACUGAGACAUGGAAACAAGGUGGCUGCAUGGGCUGUCGAUCAGCCUCGUUGUUCGUUGAGAAUGUUCGGGGGUUAGGGUGCCGCAAUCGAGCCGCCACCCCCCGUUACAUUGUUUGC